CAAACGACUCUCGGCAACGGAUAUCUCGGCUCACGCAUCGAUGAAGAACGUAGCAAAAUGCGAUACUUGGUGUGAAUUGCAGAAUCCCGUGAACCAUCGAGUUUUUGAACGCAAGUUGCGCCCGAAGCCACUCGGCUGAGGGCACGUCUGCCUGGGCGUCACGC
Molecule: ribosomal RNA, 164 nt
Filed under: Thurovia triflora
Lineage: Eukaryota; Viridiplantae; Streptophyta; Magnoliopsida; Asterales; Asteraceae
Also listed under: 1 other name
Description: 5.8S ribosomal RNA
Rfam family: 5.8S ribosomal RNA
About the family: 5.8S ribosomal RNA (5.8S rRNA) is a component of the large subunit of the eukaryotic ribosome. It is transcribed by RNA polymerase I as part of the 45S precursor that also contains 18S and 28S rRNA.
Source: RNAcentral